GUCGGCUAUGGAGAUAUUUACCCCAAGACUCUUCUGGGAAAGAUAGUCGGAGGUUUGUGCUGCAUUGCUGGAGUGCUGGUGAUCGCGCUGCCCAUUCCGAUUAUCGUCAACAAC
This is a non-coding RNA of Takifugu rubripes (torafugu), 114 nucleotides long. Lineage: Eukaryota; Metazoa; Chordata; Actinopteri; Tetraodontiformes; Tetraodontidae. The record is from Rfam.